CCUUGUACACACCGCCCGUCACACCAUGGGAGUUGGUUCUACCCGAAGACGGUGCGCCAACCGCAAGGAGGCAGCCGGCCACGGUAGGGUCAGCGACUGGGGUG
RNAcentral lists this ribosomal RNA (104 nucleotides) under uncultured bacterium. RNAcentral's name for it is "partial 16S ribosomal RNA". It matches the Rfam family "Bacterial small subunit ribosomal RNA", at positions 1379 to 1482 of the family's 1533-position model. The record is from RNAcentral.